Lipomyces starkeyi NRRL Y-11557 is the source of this 92-nucleotide transfer RNA. It matches the Rfam family "tRNA". Rfam says of the family: Transfer RNA (tRNA) molecules are approximately 80 nucleotides in length. The record is from Rfam. NCBI's taxonomy places the organism in Eukaryota, Fungi, Ascomycota, Lipomycetes, Lipomycetales, Lipomycetaceae.
GGCUCGAUGGUUUAGUGGUAUAAUUCUCGCUUAGGGCGUUACACCUUAAGUCGAUUUGCGAGAGGUCCCGGGUUCAAUUCCCGGUUGAGCCC